UUCCCAUCUUUCUUUCCCUCGGUUUCCUUCCUUUUGUUUCCUUCACCUCUGCUUAGCAAGAAUCUAUGCAUUCUCCUCGUAGGAUAAGCAAAGCACCUUUUGCCAUGCUCUUCUUUUAAGGAGGAAUUUGUGACUUCUGAGUAAAAAAAAAAGGAAUUUUCACAGGGAAAAGCAAGAAAGAUACCAAGUCAUGUACGAUAUAAGAGGAGAGACAAAAUCGUAAGGUGGCAUUUGACCUUGAUACCAUGUCACUGCAAAAUGUUGACCUCAAAUCACGUAUGAACUUAGAUUAAGAAUAAAAAUAAACUAAUAGAGCUGCAUUUUAAGUUGGCCUGUUUAGGGAGAGGCGUAGCCCCUUAAAACUAUGCAAUAUUUAAGCUGACUAGCUUGGCUACAAGCUCAACAAAAUUGUCAUGCAUAAAAAUCUUAAUUCAUUAUGACUCUCGAAAUUGAAAUACUGGCUAAAAAACCUAAGAGUAAAUGAUGAAAGAAGAAACUCGCAACUAUAUAUCAAUUAAAUUACAUGAACAAUCCACACUUAUCAUCCAUCCCACAUAAUACACUGCAUAGAUAUCAUAUUUAAGGAACGCGACUUUUAUGAAUUGUAAUGGAAUCAAGCUUGGCCAUAACAGAGCAAAUAAAAUCAUCAUUAGUAUGGGGAAUAAGCAUUUCUCGCAUACAUAGAAAGAGAGAGAAGGACCAUAGACACUUCUUAAGGAAGAGAGAGAGAGAGAGAGAGAGAGAGAGAGAGAGAGAGAGAGAGAGAGAUGAACCGUGUAGAAGAAAGAUGGACCAUGCAAUGACUUCUUGAGGUUAAAACUUAAAGGGACUUUUGUCGAGAAAAGAUGGCACUUGCAGCUACUUCAUGUGAACAUCUUAAAAUGCAAUAGCUCUCAGUGCCAUCUCUCCUGCGACAAGAGCUCCUAUUAAGCUCCAAAUCAAGUCUUCUCCUCUCUCUUUCUUUUUGGAGGGGACAAACUCCUAAAGACUCUCCAAAUGUAUCGAUGUCUACACUACACAAGCCAUAUCCAUCUCACCUUAAUCAUCCAAAUGCGCUCUUAUAUAGAGCUGAGGAGGAUCAUUCCGUCCUUUUCGCUCAUCUUCUUUCUGUCUCUUUUGUCCAAUUUUAAAUUCGGUGAUAGUGAUCGAAGGAAGAAAGAGAGAGAGAGAACCCUGUGCUCCCGGCGACAAUGUCCUACCCUCGUUGAAUUCUCA
Molecule: long non-coding RNA, 1215 nt
Filed under: Eucalyptus grandis
Lineage: Eukaryota; Viridiplantae; Streptophyta; Magnoliopsida; Myrtales; Myrtaceae
Description: long non-coding RNA (EGRA_LNC006045)
Source: RNAcentral